UUAGCUCAUGAAUAAGGGGCUCCCAACUUUGUGCCAAGCAGGANCGGUUAUACAGAGGCCUCAAGCGUUAUCCGGAUUCACUGGGCGUAAAGGGUGCGUAGCCGGUAUAUUAGUCGGGCGUAAAUCCCUAGGGCUCAACCUUAGGCUCGCGUUCGAAACGGUAUAACUAGGAGUAGUGAGAGGUGAACAGAACUCACGGUGUAGGGGUGAAUCCGUUGAUAUCGUGGGGAAUACCAAAUGCGAAGGCAGUUCACUGGCGCUUACUCGACGCUGAGGCACGAAAGCGUGGGUAGCGAACGGGAUUAGAUACCCCGGUAGUCCACGCCCUAAACGCUGUCCGCUGGCUUUAGGGAGAAUCGACCCUCCCUGAGGCGAAGGUAACCCGUUAAGCGGACCGCCUGGGUAGUACGAGCGCAAGCUUAAAACUCAAAGGAAUAGACGGGGGCUCGCACAAGCGGUGGAUCAUGAGGCUUAAUUCGUCGAUAAGCGAAAAACCUUACCCAGGCUAGAAACCAUACUGCACGCUCUCCGAAAGGAGAGAAUCCUUCGAGGGUGUAUGGCAGGUGAUGCAUGGCCGUCGUCAGUUCGUGGCUUGAGCUGUUCCCUUAAGUGGGGAAACGAACGCAACCCUCGUUGCCUGUUACAAGUGUCAGGCGAGACUGCUCCCUCACGGGAGAGGAAGGUGAGGAUGACGCCAGGUCAGCAUGUCCCUUGAUGCCUGGGGCUGCACUCGUGAUACAAUGGGAUGUACAAAGGGACGCAAUACAGUAAUGUGGAGCAAAUCCUGAUAAAACAUUCCUCAGUUCGGAUUGAGGGCUGCAACUCGCCCUCAUGAAGCCGGAAUCGCUAGUAAUCGUGAAUCAGCACGUCACGGUGAAUACGUUCCCGAGCAUUGUACUCACCGCCCGUCAAGUCAGGGGAGUCGGAAGUGCCCGAAGGUCGUCCUCGCGGCGAACUACGGUAAUUCGAUANCAAGGACUAAGUCGUAGCAAG
This 993-nucleotide ribosomal RNA is filed under the name uncultured organism. RNAcentral describes it as "bacterial SSU rRNA". It matches the Rfam family "Bacterial small subunit ribosomal RNA", at positions 475 to 1495 of the family's 1533-position model. The record is from RNAcentral.